Molecule: long non-coding RNA, 860 nt
Organism: Ixodes scapularis (black-legged tick)
Lineage: Eukaryota; Metazoa; Arthropoda; Arachnida; Ixodida; Ixodidae
Exons: 3
Source: RefSeq, a predicted model, not a curated record
CUACAACAUCGGGAAGUUCCCCAGAGUGACUGGGUGCAUCGACCGCACCCACGUCAAAAUAAAGGGACCUGGCGGUCCCAAUGGGGAAGUCUUCAGGAAGAGGAAGGGGUUCUUCUCCCUCAACGUGCAGGCCAUCACAGGACCCCAGCGGCAGUUUUUUGACCUUGUUGCUGGGUGGCCAGGCUCCUUGCAUGACAGCAGGAUAUUCGACAACAGUCGUGCAAGGGUCCUGUACGAGAAUCAGCUUAUCCAUGGGCUGCUGCUCGGAGACGCAGGCUAUGCCUGCAUGUCAUUUCUUCUGACGCCCCUGACCAGCCCAGGUGUAGCCAACAGCCCAAAGGGCAGGUACCAAGCAGCUCACCUAAAAACAAGGAACUCGGUCGAACGGGCAUUUGGAGUGUUCAAGCGACGCUUCCCAUGCCUGGACAUGCGGCUGCAGUACAAGGCGGAACGGUCAGCCUUCAUCAUCACCGCCUGUGCUGCACUGCACAACCUGGCCCUGCUGCGAAAAGAGCCAUGCCCACCUGCUCUACCCUCUCCACCAGUACCCCGAUGCCGGAGGCGGCUGCGUCCUCAUGUACUGCCAUCACCUCCAGACCCUGUCGACACAAUCAACGGCUCGCUGAAACGCACACAGAUUAUCGCACUGUGUUUCCAAUAGGGAUAUUCAACCAGUAGCACAUGUUUAUAGUCAAUGACAGGUCAAGGAUAGUGUACAAGCUGGAGAGGAGGAAGCAGACAGAAGCUUGAGGUGGAGAGGAGAAACCUCCUCUCCACUUAAAGCUUCCGUCUUACUUUUCAUCUCCAGCUUGUACUCUCUUCUUAACCCGUCACUGACUCGUGAAAAUACUCGGACACGA